Molecule: ribosomal RNA, 465 nt
Filed under: uncultured bacterium
Lineage: Bacteria
Description: partial 16S ribosomal RNA
Rfam family: Bacterial small subunit ribosomal RNA
Source: RNAcentral
GACGAACGCUGGCGGCGUGCUUAACACAUGCAAGUCGAACGGAAAGGCCCUGCUUGCAGGGUACUCGAGUGGCGAACGGGUGAGUAACACGUGGGUGAUCUGCCCUGCACUUCGGGAUAAGCCUGGGAAACUGGGUCUAAUACCGGAUAGGAGCCAUUUUUAGUGUGAUGGUUGGAAAGUUUUUUCGGUGUAGGAUGAGCUGGCGGCCUAUCAGCUUGUUGGUGGGGUAAUGGCCUACCGAGGCGGCGACGGGUAGCCGGCCUGAGAGGGUGGACGGCGACAUUGGGACUGAGGUACGGCCGAGACUGCGACGGGAGGGAGCAGGGGGGAAGAUUGAAGAAUGGGCGCAAGCCUGAUGCAGCGACGCCGCGUGGGGGAUGACGGCGUUAGGGUUGUAGAAUCCUUUCGCUAGGAACGAAGCUUUUUGUGACGGUACCUAGAUAAGAAGCACCGGCUAACUACGUG